This 935-nucleotide ribosomal RNA is filed under the name Bacillus cereus. RNAcentral describes it as "bacterial SSU rRNA". It matches the Rfam family "Bacterial small subunit ribosomal RNA", at positions 54 to 966 of the family's 1533-position model. Lineage: Bacteria; Bacillati; Bacillota; Bacilli; Caryophanales; Bacillaceae. The record is from RNAcentral.
CAUGCAGUCGAGCGAAUGGAUUANGAGCUUGCUCUUAUAGAAGUUAGCGGCGAGACGGGUGAGUAACACGUGGGUAACCUGCCCAUAAGACUGGGAUAACUCCGGGAAACCGGGGCUAAUACCGGAUAACAUUUUGAACCGCGUGGUUCGAAAUUGAAAGGCGGCUUCGGCUGUCACUUAUGGAUGGACCCGCGUCGCAUUAGCUAGUUGGUGAGGUAACGGCUCACCAAGGCAACGAUGCGUAGCCGACCUGAGAGGGUGAUCGGCCACACUGGGACUGAGACACGGCCCAGACUCCUACGGGAGGCAGCAGUAGGGAAUCUUCCGCAGUGGACGAAAGUCUGACGGAGCAACGCCGCGUGAGUGAUGAAGGCUUUCGGGUCGUAAAACUCUGUUGUUAGGGAAGAACAAGUGCUAGUUGAAUAAGCUGGCACCUUGACGGUACCUAACCAAAAAGCCACGGCUAACUACGUGCCAGCAGCCGCGGUAAUACGUAGGUGGCAAGCGUUAUCCGGAAUUAUUGGGCGUAAAGCGCGCGCAGGUGGUUUCUUAANUCUGAUGUGAAAGCCCACGGCUCAACCGUGGAGGGUCAUUGGAAACUGGGAGACUUGAGUGCANAAGAGGAAAGUGGAAUUCCAUGUGUAGCGGUGAAAUGCGUAGAGAUAUGGAGGAACACCAGUGGCGAAGGCGACUUUCUGGUCUGUAACUGACACUGAGGCGCGAAAGCGUGGGGAGCAAACAGGAUUANAUACCCUGGUAGUCCACGCCGUAAACGAUGAGUGCUAAGUGUUAGAGGGUUUCCNCCCUUUAGUGCUGAANUUAACGCAUUAAGCACUCCGCCUGGGGAGUACGGCCGCANNGCUGANACUCAAANGAAUUGACGGGGGCCCGCACNAGCGGUGNANCAUGNNGNUUUACUUCGAAGCAACGCGAAG